Molecule: long non-coding RNA, 235 nt
Organism: Zingiber officinale
Lineage: Eukaryota; Viridiplantae; Streptophyta; Magnoliopsida; Zingiberales; Zingiberaceae
Exons: 3
Source: RefSeq, a predicted model, not a curated record
UUUAUGGGGACACUGACUCUGUUAUGGUACAAUUCGGUGUGCCUUCUGUAGAGGAAGCAAUGAAGUUAGGAAGAGAAGCAUCAGAAUAUAUUACAGGAACUUUCAUAAAGCCCAUUAGGCUUGAAUUUGAAAAGGUCUAUUAUCCCUAUUUGCUAAUAAGCAAGAAGAGAUAUGCUGGAUUGUACUGGACAAAGCCUGAUAGUUUUGACAAAAUGGACACAAAAGGCAUCGAGAU